GAUGAACGCUGGCGGCGUGCCUAAUACAUGCAAGUCGAGCGAACAGAUAAGGAGCUUGCUCCUUUGACGUUAGCGGCGGACGGGUGAGUAACACGUGGGUAACCUACUUAUAAGACGGGGAUAACUUCGGGAAACCGGAUCUAAUCCCGGAGAAUAUUUCGAACCGCAUGGUUCGAUGGUGAAAUAUGGUUUUGCUAUCACGUCUAGGUGGACCUCGGCCGUAUUAUCUAGUUGUUAAGGUAACGGGUUACCAAGGGGACUAUACGUGACCGACCUGAGAGGGUGGUAGCCGGCAUGGGAGCGGAGACGCGCUCAAUACGCCUACGGGAGGCCCCAGUAGCGAAUCUUCCGCAGUGGGCGAGAACCUUACGCAGCAACGCCACGUGAGUUAUAGAGGUCUUCCGAUCGUGAAACUCUGUUAUUAGGGAAGAACAUACGUGUCAGUAAAUGAGCACGUCUUGACGGUAACUAAUAAGAAAGCCACGGCUAACUACGUG
This 497-nucleotide ribosomal RNA is filed under the name uncultured bacterium. RNAcentral describes it as "partial 16S ribosomal RNA". It matches the Rfam family "Bacterial small subunit ribosomal RNA", at positions 28 to 507 of the family's 1533-position model. The record is from RNAcentral.